AAUAGCCCAGCACUGAAUCCCGCCGUUGUCACGGCGGCGGGAGAUGUGGUGUUCGGGAGGUUCCGCUUUCUCGUCGUCGUCAUCUCCUGUCCAAGUUCGUCUUGAACGGGGCCGUUUUCCCGUAGAGGGUGCCAGGCCCGUAGCGACGGAGGACGGCGGCGAGAGGGACUCUCCUCAGAGUCGGGUUGCUUGAGAGUGCAGCCCUAAGUGGGUGGUAAACUCCAUCUAAGGCUAAAUAUUACCGCGAGACCGAUAGCGAACAAGUACCGUA
RNAcentral lists this ribosomal RNA (271 nucleotides) under Arichanna melanaria. Its description in RNAcentral is "partial 28S ribosomal RNA". It matches the Rfam family "Eukaryotic large subunit ribosomal RNA", at positions 103 to 355 of the family's 3401-position model. RNAcentral also lists the same sequence under 1 other name. Lineage: Eukaryota; Metazoa; Arthropoda; Insecta; Lepidoptera; Geometridae. The record is from RNAcentral.